AUUAAACGCUGGCGGCAGGCCUAACACAUGCAAGUCGAGCGGACCGGAGGACGGGUGAGUAAUGCCUAGGAAUCUGCCUGGUAGUGGGGGAUAACGUCCGGAAACGAGCGCUAAUACCGCAUACUAUCACAUGAGACUAGGUCGGAUUAGCUAGUUGGUGGGGUAAAGGACUACCAAGGCGACGAUCCGUAACUGGUCUGAGUGUAUGAUCAGUCACACUGGAACUGAGAAACGGUACAGACUCCGACGGGAGGCAGCAGUGGGGAAUAUUGGACAAUGGGCUAAAGCCUGAUCCAGCCAUGCCGCGUGUAUGAAGAAGGUCUUCGGAUUGCAAAGCACUUUAAGUUGGGAGGCGUUACCCGCAGAAGAAGCACCGGCUAACUCCGUGCCAGCAGCCGCGGUAAUUC
RNAcentral lists this ribosomal RNA (407 nucleotides) under uncultured bacterium. RNAcentral describes it as "partial 16S ribosomal RNA". It matches the Rfam family "Bacterial small subunit ribosomal RNA", at positions 30 to 526 of the family's 1533-position model. The record is from RNAcentral.